Molecule: long non-coding RNA, 195 nt
Organism: Chiroxiphia lanceolata (lance-tailed manakin)
Lineage: Eukaryota; Metazoa; Chordata; Aves; Passeriformes; Pipridae
Exons: 3
Source: RefSeq, a predicted model, not a curated record
AGGCAGCGGCCCUGCACGUUCAGCGCGUGCGCGUACAGCGCGGGGCGGGCCCCGUCCGCCGCCGCCGCCAGCUGCGUGACGUCAUUGUGGAGUCUGAAGGGCCCGGAUAGCCCCGGGUUUGGCUGCAGCUGUUUCUGCUGGAAUUCAUCCCACAGUCCAAGGAAUGGCCAGGCCCAGGAGAAGGGGAAAACUCAC